Long non-coding RNA from Manduca sexta (tobacco hornworm), 853 nucleotides. RefSeq lists it as uncharacterized. The record is from RefSeq and is a predicted model, not a curated record. NCBI's taxonomy places the organism in Eukaryota, Metazoa, Arthropoda, Insecta, Lepidoptera, Sphingidae. The transcript is spliced from 2 exons.
UUAUCGGCUAAUUUUGACGUCUCGAGUGACCAACGAAACAUCGAUGUCAACCGAACUUUGAUGUCAACUGAAAUUUUGUAUCCAUCGGUAUUGCGUAUGACAUUGUAGCUAUAACCCGCACGAGUGCCUAUCAGCGGACCACUUGACACCUCUACUUUUUAUCGACAUUAUGCGACUAAGUUAUACACACCUAUGGCACGUAAAACUAAUUGGAUGAAUUGGCCAUCUUCGUUUAGCGGAUUAAUUACGCGUUAAAAACUGGAUAAUAACUUUGUGGACUGGGAACCAUAAUAUUAUUAUUAACUUUCAAUUGUGUAGUUUGUUAUAAAUACGAUAAGUGUUGGUGCUCGUGUGGUUAAAUUCUUUUUAAGUUACGAUUUAUUUACACUCGAGAUGUUUGAUGGAAGAAAAAACUCCCAAGGACAGAGUUGCUACUUGUUUCUAGAAUUUGUGGAGGCCCAAAGCUUUGGAUCGCUUUUCAAUGGGCCACCAAUCUAGUCAAUAUACUAGACAAACUUGGGAAUCAUUCGCUGUUAAGUUUAAUCGAGUAGAAGAUGACGUCUUAAGAACCACAGGCCAAUGAGAGUGUCGAGUUGAAGGAGAAGCCUCGAUUUGAGCCUGUCUCGAUAUUGAGGAGUAAAUGGCUGCCUUGAAAAGGAUUGCUGUGGACCGAUGGUCAUGGAAAGAGCUAGUGCCCUAAUAAUAUAAUUGAUAACAACAGUACACCUCAAAAAAAUUAAUAGAUUAUAGAUAGUGGUUCUAUAUAUUAGCUUAGUUGUAUACAGCAUUAUAAUUAUGCUCUAAUGUGAAUUGUAAUUUUUUACAUUACCUAAUAAUGAUAAUACAAUAUGUA